GGCCCAUCACCAAGGUACUUCAGCACAAGCUUCAUUUUAAAUACAGGACUAUCACUGGCUUCCACAGCAUUGCUGCAGUGCUUCCAGUUGUGGAAAUGCUGAAGCACCUGCCCAGACUGGAGUGUGAAAUACUGAUAAGAGAGAAAAUACUUUUACAGCAAGAGCUUGGCUUACAGCUGUUUGGAAAUGCCAAAAAGAAGAGCUCCCCAGACCUGGCAGCUCUAAACUGGGGGAAGAACUCUGUCAGUGGCCAGGAUGAGAAAAGGUCCUUGCAAGGGUCAAGCUUAAAAGGGAGCAAGAAGAGUGAGGUGAAGGCAAAACAGAAACCAGUAUCACCAGUUUAA
This 344-nucleotide long non-coding RNA is filed under the name Lonchura striata (white-rumped munia). RNAcentral describes it as "domestica (Bengalese finch) lncRNA (ENSLSDG00000015113.1)". The record is from RNAcentral. Lineage: Eukaryota; Metazoa; Chordata; Aves; Passeriformes; Estrildidae.